GGGGGUGACAUGGCUUCGACGCCGAUUACAAAACCUUGAGUGCAUGCCGUGAGUGUAGUGAAUCACGUAAAUCAAUUACUGCACAGUUAUAGUUGCUAACGACGAUAACUACGCUCUAGCAGCCUAAAGGGCCGCUAGCGCCACACUCAAAGGUGUCUGUAACUAUGAGGUUUGUGGUGUCAUUUGAGACAGAAUCGCCUGGACGCUUCGCCUUAAGCUGAACGGUUAAAACUAAAAAGGCUCGCCCUAAACGCCCUGACCCUCGGGCCGUGCUGGGUUAAUUGAAUAGAGGUGUCUACGCAUGUAGACCUUAAGGCAGCGGAUUGGCGGACGCGGGUUCGAAACCCGCCACCUCCACCA
This 360-nucleotide transfer-messenger RNA is filed under the name Neptunomonas antarctica. RNAcentral's name for it is "Standard tmRNA". It matches the Rfam family "transfer-messenger RNA". Rfam says of the family: Bacterial tmRNA, also known as 10Sa RNA or SsrA, is named for its dual tRNA and mRNA-like properties. Its role is to liberate the mRNA from a stalled ribosome. Lineage: Bacteria; Pseudomonadati; Pseudomonadota; Gammaproteobacteria; Oceanospirillales; Oceanospirillaceae. The record is from RNAcentral.